RNAcentral lists this long non-coding RNA (747 nucleotides) under Mytilus galloprovincialis (Mediterranean mussel). Lineage: Eukaryota; Metazoa; Mollusca; Bivalvia; Mytilida; Mytilidae. The record is from RNAcentral.
UAGGUGGUUUCUUAGAUGGCUAUUAUAUGUUUUUGGUUGAUUUCGCUUGUAGGUGGUUUCUUAGAUGGCUAUCAUAUGUUUUUUUGGUUGAUUUCGCUUGUAGAUGGUUUCUUAGAUGGCUAUUAUAUGUUUUUUUGGUUGAUUUCGCUUGUAGGUGGUUUCUUAGAUGGAUAUUAUAUGUUUUUUUGGUUGAUUUCGCUUGUAGGUGGUUUCUUAGAUGGCUAUUGUAUGUUUUUUUGGUUGAUUUCGCUUGUAGGUGGUUUCUUAGAUGGCUAUUAUAUGUUUUUGGUUGAUUUCGCUUGUAGGUGGUUUCUUAGAUGGCUAUUAUAUGUUUUUUUGGUUGAUUUUGGUUGUAGGUGGUUUCUUAGAUGGAUAUUAUAUGUUGUUUUGGUUGAUUUCGCUUGUAGGUGGUUUCUUAGAUGGCUAUUAUAUAUUUUUGUGGUUGAUUUCGCUUAUAGGUGGUUUCUUAGAUGGCUAUUAUAUGUUUUUUGGUUGAUUUCGCUUGUAGGUGGUUUCUUAGAUGGCUAUUAUAUGUUGUUUUGGUUGAUUUCGCUUGUAUGUGGUUUCUUAGAUGGCUAUUAUAUGUUGUUUUGGUUGAUUUCGCUUGUAGGUGGUUUCUUAGAUGGCUAUUAUAUGUUGUUUUGGUUGAUUUCGCUUGUAGGUGGUUUCUUAGAUGGCUAUCAUAUGUUUUUUUGGUUGAUUUUGGUUGUAGGUGGUUUCUUAGAUGGAUAUUAUAUGUUUUUUUUU